CCUUACGGCCAUACCAGCCUGGGUACGCCCGAUCUCGUCUGAUCUCGGAAGCUAAGCAGGGUCGGGCCUGGUUAGUACUUGGAUGGGAGACCGCCUGGGAAUACCAGGUGCAGUAAGCA
RNAcentral lists this ribosomal RNA (119 nucleotides) under Salmo salar (Atlantic salmon). The record is from RNAcentral. Lineage: Eukaryota; Metazoa; Chordata; Actinopteri; Salmoniformes; Salmonidae.